This is a long non-coding RNA of Gallus gallus (chicken), 1441 nucleotides long. NCBI's taxonomy places the organism in Eukaryota, Metazoa, Chordata, Aves, Galliformes, Phasianidae. The record is from Ensembl.
GUGCCUGCCGCGUCCUUCACACUGAUCUGUGUUGCUUUUCAUCAGUUCUCUUCAAUAGUGCUGCGUGAGAGCCACCACAGAUAUAUCAUCAAACCCAUCUGCAAUGAGCCCAGACUAACUCCUUGCCAGAAGAUACCUUGCAUGGAGCAUCUGGAACACCAGAUUCCUCCUUUGCUGCCAUAAGGGUGGUUAUAUUAAGGGAAGUAGCAAGCAAGAAACAAGCAAUCUGUGGCUGACUUUUGAAGAUGUAAUGCUGAACAAUAAGGCACCUUUACCAUCCAUAUAGGCUGUUACUAAAACAAGACAGCUACCACAAAAUGGAUUUUGAUAUUCUGUAUGAGCUCAGUACACAUCUACUGCAAAAGUCUCAUCUGUGUAUCCUGAAUUGCUCCUGAAGAUAUGGAGUAGAGUUUUGAAUGGCAUUUAUAUCACUCCUUCCAAGAAGACCAUCAGAUAACAGACAGCAGUAAAUUUCCUUCACUUGAAAUGGGGUUCAAUCAAACUAAAUGUACACAGCUCUUUAUUUACAACUGAACUACUCAUUCCAGGCUUCUCUACAGGAGGCCUCAACACAUUGAGCACGUGAGUAUUCUUACCACCAGUGUUUUCUGGUUAUCUAACUUCCUUUAUGUGAUUUUUACCCAUGUAUUGUUAAAAAGUUACUUGUAUUUUUUAACAUGUAGUAUUUAAGUAUUACGAUUUAUCGGUGGGUUUAAAGAAGCCUCCCAGGAAUGCACUUCAUACCUGUUGUCCAUUCCUGGAGUGCUUCUGGAUCAAAGCAGAGGACCAAAGCCCCAAGGACCAUUGAGAGUGACUGAACACGGAAAAUUAUUCAAAAGAUCUCCACAUCUAAACAAAACUCACAGUUCAAUCUCAUCUCUCAUUUUGGCACCGGUUGCAUACAUGAUCCUGGACAUUUACUUCUCAUAUGAAGACUGAACCCCUGUGGACAAUUUCAGCAAUCUUGUCCUUCCACUUCAGCAAUGUUCUAAGAUCCAUUGGCUUCAGCAGGAGCUUUUCAGCCAUCUUUCAAUUGAGGUUUUAAUCAGAUCCUCAGUGAAUACGAAUCAAAUACAGAAGAAAACUGUUUCUUAGGACAUUUUCUGUCAUGAUUCUCCAUUUACCGUUACAUUUCGUGAUGAUAGCCUCUUCAGCUUUUCUCUCAGCAAUUACUUUAGAUCAGCGGAAAAAUCUGUUUCUGUUGUUAGUAAAAACACAUUUAAGACAUCUUUCUGCAAUCUAGACUGCUGUUCCCAGCUGCAAAGUAUGAAUUAUGCAUGCUUCUUGUCUUCUUAGAGUAUGAAAAAAACACCCUACUAUAGUCUUGAAUUAAUGAUUCUAAUGUUAUGCUAAAUGUUCACAGUUUAUUAUUCCAAUAAAUAUGGCAAUCUAGUGAUAUUUACACAUUCAUAAUGGGUUGUUAAUAAUGAUACAAUAUGCU